RNAcentral lists this ribosomal RNA (398 nucleotides) under uncultured bacterium. RNAcentral's name for it is "bacterial SSU rRNA". It matches the Rfam family "Bacterial small subunit ribosomal RNA", at positions 362 to 758 of the family's 1533-position model. The record is from RNAcentral.
UAUUGGACAAUGGGCGCAAGCCUGAUCCAGCCAUGCCGCGUGCAGGAUGACGGUCCUAUGGAUUGUAAACUGCUUUUGUACAGGAAGAAACACCUCUACGUGUAGAGACUUGACGGUACUGUAAGAAUAAGGAUCGGCUAACUCCGUGCCAGCAGCCGCGGUAAUACGGAGGAUCCAAGCGUUAUCCGGAAUCAUUGGGUUUAAAGGGUCCGUAGGCGGUCUUAUAAGUCAGUGGUGAAAUCUCCCCGCUCAACGGGGAAACGGCCAUUGAUACUGUAAGACUUGAAUUAUUAGGAAGUAACUAGAAUAUGUAGUGUAGCGGUGAAAUGCUUAGAGAUUACAUGGAAUACCAAUUGCGAAGGCAGGUUACUAAUAAUGGAUUGACGCUGAGGACGAAA